Molecule: ribosomal RNA, 560 nt
Filed under: Colletotrichum gloeosporioides
Lineage: Eukaryota; Fungi; Ascomycota; Sordariomycetes; Glomerellales; Glomerellaceae
Description: eukaryotic LSU rRNA
Rfam family: 5.8S ribosomal RNA (bases 211-364)
Source: RNAcentral
AAACUCGAUUUUCCUCUCGCCCUCGUGAAGGGAUAAUUUCGACGGUAGUUCCUCCUACCCCGUGGGACCAUCCCUAUAUAUGUGGUUUUGGUGGGUAGGGUGUCCGUGACCCUCCCGGCCUCCCGCCCCCGGGCGGUUCGGCGCCCGCCGGAGGAUAACCAAACUCUGAUUUAACGACGUCUCUUCUGAGUGGUACAAGCAAAUAAUCAAAACUUUUAACAACGGAUCUCUUGGUUCUGGCAUCGAUGAAGAACGCAGCGAAAUGCGAUAAGUAAUGUGAAUUGCAGAAUUCAGUGAAUCAUCGAAUCUUUGAACGCACAUUGCGCCCGCCAGCAUUCUGGCGGGCAUGCCUGUUCGAGCGUCAUUUCAACCCUCAAGCUCUGCUUGGUGUUGGGGCCCUACAGCUGAUGUAGGCCCUCAAAGGUAGUGGCGGACCCUCCCGGAGCCUCCUUUGCGUAGUAACUUUACGUCUCGCACUGGGAUCCGGAGGGACUCUUGCCGUAAAACCCCCAAUUCUCCAAAGGUGACCUCGGAUCAGGUAGGAAUACCCGCUAACUAAG